Molecule: ribosomal RNA, 253 nt
Filed under: uncultured bacterium
Lineage: Bacteria
Description: partial 16S ribosomal RNA
Rfam family: Bacterial small subunit ribosomal RNA
Source: RNAcentral
UACGUAGGGUGCAAGCGUUGUCCGGAUUUAUUGGGUUUAAAGGGUGCGUAGGCGGUGGAUUAAGUCAGUGGUGAAAGACGAUCGCUCAACGAUUGCAGUGCCAUUGAUACUGGUUCACUUGAGUAGUGCAGAGGUGGCCGGAAUUGAUCGUGUAGCGGUGAAAUGCAUAGAUAUGAUCAAGAACGCCGAUUGCGAAGGCAGGUCACUGGACACUUACUGACGCUGAGGCACGAAAGUGUGGGGAUCAAACAGG